Oncorhynchus tshawytscha (Chinook salmon) is the source of this 1812-nucleotide long non-coding RNA. RefSeq lists it as uncharacterized. The record is from RefSeq and is a predicted model, not a curated record. The transcript has 2 exons. Lineage: Eukaryota; Metazoa; Chordata; Actinopteri; Salmoniformes; Salmonidae.
CCUGAGGCCCAAACAUUUGUGUUGUUUUCACCUUUCAUUUAUGCACUGGGAUUUGUUGGGGGCACCAUGGUGUUUUAAUAAACAUCUGUAUUUGGAUUUAUUCAUAUAUAUUUUUUUCUACAGUGUGCGAGUAUUCUUCCUGAAUAUGUUAAUUGGUUUCCCUUCUUCCAGGUUGCCACACCUGCGUCGAUGGACCCACUGUUCCUUCAAUCACGUGACGGGACAAAGGAAAAGAGGGCGGUCCUACGCUGUCAGACAGGGCCGCCCAGAUUAUAGCCACGGUCACACCUGACGGGAGAUGUCUACAGACAGCUUGCUGGUCCUACAGGGCAUAACAACACCUGACGGGAGAUGUCUACAGACACCUGGCUGGUCCUUCAGAGGAUAAUGACUAUUAAACAGGGCUUGAGAGCACAGCGUUCUGUAGUGUGGCGUCACUGUUGGGAAAUAUAAACAGCAGCAUACACUAGAUGCAGGUAUUCAAUCAGCUCUUCGUCGACAAGGGUAAUUCAUGCUUGAGCAGACAUUGUUUACUGAAAACCAUGUAUUUGAUACCAUUCCUCCCAAUUAAAGGUGACACCAAUCUCCUGUGCUGUACCCAACACUUACAAUUAUCUGUCAGGUCCCUCAGUCGAUCAGUGAAUUUCAAACACACAUUCAACCACAAAGACCAGGGAGGUCUUACAAUGCCUCGCAAAGAAGGGCAACUAUUGGUAGAUGGGUUCACAUUUUUUAAAGCAGACACUGAAUAUAAUAUCCCUUUUAGCACGGUGCAGUUAUUAGUAAUUACACUUUGGAUGGUGUGUCAAUACACCCAGUCAAUACAAAGAUACAGGCGUCCUUCCUAAAUCAGUUGCCGGGGAGGAAGGAAACCACUCAGGGAUUUCACCAUGAGGCCAAUGGGGACUUUAAAACAGUUACAGAGUUUAAUGGCUGUUAAAGGAGAAAACUGAGGAUGGAUCAACAACAUCCUAACAACACCUGUCUCAACAUGUCCUCCUAACAACGCCUGUCUCAACAUGUCCUCCCAACAACACCUGUCUCAACAUGUCCUCCUAACAACACCUGUCUCAACAUGUCCUCCUAACAACACCUGUCUCAACAUGUCCUCCUAACAACACCUGUCUCAACAUGUCCUCCUAACAACACCUGUCUCAACAUGUCCUCCUAACAACACCUGUCUCAACAUGUCCUCCUAACAACACCUGUCUCAACAUGUCCUCCUAACAACACCUGUCUCAACAUGUCCUCCUAACAACACCUGUCUCAACAUGUCCUCCUAACAACACCUGUCUCAACAUGUCCUCCUAACAACACCUGUCUCAACAUGUCCUCCUAACAACACCUGUCUCAACAUGUCCUCCUAACAACACCUGUCUCAACAUGUCCUCCUAACAACACCUGUCUCAACAUAGGAACGUGUUCCUGUUUAUUUCAUUCCAGUUAUGAGUUUCGUCAAUUUAUUAAUCUUCUUCUUCUUUUGUUUGAGGGUUCUGUCAAUGUUAAGCACGUUUAACCUGAUUAUGCACAGGCCUAUAGAAGUAGGCCUAGUCUACCUGCCUGCGCGCAAAUGUAGAAGAAGAAAUGUCCCCAUUUGGGGUUCUGAUAGUGUUUCUGAUUGUCUCGUCACCACCAGUGAUCUGUGGCGCUUCUCAAAGUCAUUUUUACUUCACCACAAACAGCAACUAAACAAAGUCUGUUUUUAUAAUUAAUUGAGAAUGACAAUAGUUCCUCAAAGUAUUUUUAAAAUAUUUCCAGCUCCACAAAUGUCAUGCUAUGAUGGAAACUAUUAAAAUAUCUGAUUACUUUUAA